UGGGGGAUAUUGCACAAUGGACGAAAGCCUGAUGCAGCGACGCCGCGUGGGGGAUGAAGGCUUUCGGGUUGUAAACCUCUUUCGCUAUCGAACAAGGCCCGCUUAGGGUGGGUUGAGGGUAGGUGGAGAAGAAGCGCCGGCUAACUACGUGCCAGCAGCCGCGGUAAUACGUAGGGCGCGAGCGUUGUCCGGAAUUAUUGGGCGUAAAGGGCUUGUAGGCGGCUUGUUGCGCCUGCUGUGAAAACGCGGGGCUUAACUUCGCGCGUGCAGUGGGUACGGGCAGGCUUGAGUGUGGUAGGGGUGACUGGAAUUCCAGGUGUAGCGGUGGAAUGCGCAGAUAUCUGGAGGAACACCGAUGGCGAAGGCAGGUCACUGGGCCAUUACUGACGCUGAGGAGCGAAAGCAUGGGUAGCGAACAGG
This 420-nucleotide ribosomal RNA is filed under the name bacterium. Its description in RNAcentral is "partial 16S ribosomal RNA". It matches the Rfam family "Bacterial small subunit ribosomal RNA", at positions 355 to 776 of the family's 1533-position model. The record is from RNAcentral.